Molecule: ribosomal RNA, 224 nt
Filed under: uncultured bacterium
Lineage: Bacteria
Description: partial 16S ribosomal RNA
Rfam family: Bacterial small subunit ribosomal RNA
Source: RNAcentral
AAUCAACGCUGGCGGCGUGCCUCAGACAUGCAAGUCGAACGCGAAAGUUCCCUUCGGGGGAGUGAGUAGAGUGGCGCACGGGUGAGUAACACGUAGGUAAUCUACCUUCGGAGUGGGAAGUAACAACCGGAAACGGUUGCUAAUACCGCAUAAUGCAGCGGCACCUAAUGGUGACAGUUGUUAAAGACGGGGAGUCAAAGACCUCGCGUCUGAAGAGGAGCCUG